RNAcentral lists this transfer RNA (82 nucleotides) under Caerostris darwini. RNAcentral describes it as "tRNA-Ser". It matches the Rfam family "tRNA". Rfam says of the family: Transfer RNA (tRNA) molecules are approximately 80 nucleotides in length. Their secondary structure includes four short double-helical elements and three loops (D, anti-codon, and T loops). Further hydrogen bonds mediate the characteristic L-shaped molecular structure. tRNAs have two regions of fundamental functional importance: the anti-codon, which is responsible for specific mRNA codon recognition, and the 3' end, to which the tRNAs corresponding amino acid is attached (by aminoacyl-tRNA synthetases). tRNAs cope with the degeneracy of the genetic code in two manners: having more than one tRNA (with a specific anti-codon) for a particular amino acid; and 'wobble' base-pairing, i.e. permitting non-standard base-pairing at the 3rd anti-codon position. The record is from RNAcentral. Lineage: Eukaryota; Metazoa; Arthropoda; Arachnida; Araneae; Araneidae.
GUAGCGGUGGCCGAGUGGUUAAAUCGAUGGACUAGAAAUCCAUUGGGAUCUUCCCGCGUAGGUUCGAAUCCUACCGACUACG